This 349-nucleotide ribosomal RNA is filed under the name Salmonella enterica. RNAcentral's name for it is "partial 23S ribosomal RNA". It matches the Rfam family "Bacterial large subunit ribosomal RNA", at positions 2454 to 2802 of the family's 2925-position model. RNAcentral also lists the same sequence under 1 other name. Lineage: Bacteria; Pseudomonadati; Pseudomonadota; Gammaproteobacteria; Enterobacterales; Enterobacteriaceae. The record is from RNAcentral.
GGAUAAAAGGUACUCCGGGGAUAACAGGCUGAUACCGCCCAAGAGUUCAUAUCGACGGCGGUGUUUGGCACCUCGAUGUCGGCUCAUCACAUCCUGGGGCUGAAGUAGGUCCCAAGGGUAUGGCUGUUCGCCAUUUAAAGUGGUACGCGAGCUGGGUUUAGAACGUCGUGAGACAGUUCGGUCCCUAUCUGCCGUGGGCGCUGGAGAACUGAGGGGGGCUGCUCCUAGUACGAGAGGACCGGAGUGGACGCAUCACUGGUGUUCGGGUUGUCAUGCCAAUGGCACUGCCCGGUAGCUAAAUGCGGAAGAGAUAAGUGCUGAAAGCAUCUAAGCACGAAACUUGCCCCGA